This 317-nucleotide ribosomal RNA is filed under the name uncultured eukaryote. Its description in RNAcentral is "partial 18S ribosomal RNA". It matches the Rfam family "Eukaryotic small subunit ribosomal RNA", at positions 1470 to 1796 of the family's 1831-position model. The record is from RNAcentral.
CCCUUAGAUGUUCUGGGCUGCACGCGCGCUACACUGAUGCGCUCAACGAGUUUUAACCUUGCCUGGAAAGGUUGGGUAAUCUUUUUAAAACGCAUCGUGAUGGGGAUAGAUUAUUGCAAUUAUUAAUCUUCAACGAGGAAUUCCUAGUAAACGCAAGUCAUCAGCUUGCAUUGAUUACGUCCCUGCCCUUUGUACACACCGCCCGUCGCACCUACCGAUUGAAUGGUCCGGUGAAAUCCUCGGAUCGAGCCGUGGGGCAACUCCGGUUCGAGAAGUUGAUUAAACCUUACCAUUUAGAGGAAGGUGAAGUCGUAACA